RNAcentral lists this ribosomal RNA (497 nucleotides) under uncultured bacterium. Its description in RNAcentral is "partial 16S ribosomal RNA". It matches the Rfam family "Bacterial small subunit ribosomal RNA", at positions 28 to 507 of the family's 1533-position model. The record is from RNAcentral.
GAUGAACGCUGGCGGCGUGCCUAAUACAUGCAAGUCGAGCGGACAGACGCUAAGCUUGCUUCUCUGAUGUUUGCGGCGGACGGGUGAGUCACACGUGGAUAACCUACCUAUAAGACUGGUAUAACUUCGGGACACCGGAGCUAAUACCGGAUGAUAUUUUGCACCGCAUGGUUCAAAAGUGAAAGUCGGUCUUGCUGUCACUUCUAGAUGGAUCAGGGCUGCAUUAGAUAGUUGGUAAGGUAACGGCUUACCACGGCAACGAUGCAUAGCCGACCUGAGAGGGGGAUCGGCCACACUGGAACUGAGACACGGUCCAGACUCCUACGGGAGGCAGCAGUAGGGAAUCUGCCGCAAUGGGCGAAAGCCUGACGGAGCAACGCCGCGUGAGUGAUGAAGGUCUUCGGAUCGUAAAACUCUGUUAUGAGGGAAGAACAUAUGUGUAAGUAACUGUGCACAGCGUGACGGUACCUAAUCAGAAAGCCACGGCUAACUACGUG